This 468-nucleotide ribosomal RNA is filed under the name uncultured bacterium. RNAcentral describes it as "partial 16S ribosomal RNA". It matches the Rfam family "Bacterial small subunit ribosomal RNA", at positions 28 to 507 of the family's 1533-position model. The record is from RNAcentral.
GACGAACGCUGGCGGCGUGCUUAACACAUGCAAGUCGAACGGAAAGGCCCUGCUUUUGUGGGGUGCUCGAGUGGCGAACGGGUGAGUAACACGUGAGUAACCUGCCCUUGACUUUGGGAUAACUUCAGGAAACUGGGGCUAAUACCGGAUAGGAGCUCCUGCUGCAUGGUGGGGGUUGGAAAGUUUCGGCGGUUGGGGAAGGACUCGCGGCUUAUCAGCUGGUUGGUGGGGUAGUGGCUUACCAAGGCUUUGACGGGUAGCCGGCCUGAGAGGGUGACCGGCCUCAAUCAGACUGAGGAACGGCCCAGACAGCAACAGGCGGCAGAGGGGGGGAGUCUGACGCAACGAUCUGAAGGCUGUGAAGAAAACGCCCCGUGCGGGAAGAAGGCCUUCGAGUUGUAAACCGCAUUGGCCUGUGAGGAGGCUUGAGUGACGGUAAUAAAUAAAGAAGCAACGGCUAACUACGUG